This 1646-nucleotide long non-coding RNA is filed under the name Vulpes vulpes (red fox). RNAcentral's name for it is "lncRNA (ENSVVUG00000008604.1)". Lineage: Eukaryota; Metazoa; Chordata; Mammalia; Carnivora; Canidae. The record is from RNAcentral.
UGCAAGUCUAGGUCUCUGCUUCCCGCUCAGGUUCCUGAUGCUAACCAGCCUUAGCCUAUUGCCUUGUUGCUCUCUACCACUAAGCAGGAUUCACUGACUCACUAUGCUAAUGUAUACGGGAUAAUAGAUUUGAAGGAAACGGGCAGAAAGUUAAGUCAGAUAAAACAGAAGCCUAGAAUUUACAGACUGGCUUUGCUAAGAGGUUUGAAAAUUGUGUUUUUAUCAAUUUUGUUCUCCCAUGGCAUUGAGCAAGCUCCGGUGGUCUCUGCUCUGUUGAUGGAAACAAAGGAGGGCAUCAUGUUACAUCAUCCCUUAAGUCACAGGAUAAAAAGAUCGUCAAUGUCUCCCUGAGGCCAGGAGGUGGCUGAAAAACAGGAAGGGAAGGGGCCUCAUGGGGAAGACCCUGUACGACCUGGCAGGGUGGAGAAACCAGCACUGGAUAUCCUGUACUAAUGGGAAGCCUUUACACGACAGUCACAUCCUGAAUAAGAGUGAGGUACUGUGGACUUGUCCAGAUCCUGCAGCUUUAGCUUUUUUUACGUUUGCCUGGGACCCUUGUAUGCCUUAUUAUAAUCUGCUUUCAGUAUUAAAGCUCUGUUCUAGGACUUUUCUCUGUCUGACUGAUUGCUGCUUUUAUCAGCUCUAAUUAAUGAUGCAUGAUGGUGUUUCAAACUGUUUCCAUAAAGCUUUCCCAGUCUUUAGCACCCAGAAAGUAAAAUGCAGCCACUUUAUGGAAUAUGACUUUAAUUAACCCAAGUGAUCUCACAUCAAUCACCCUGAUUUUCUUCAGAUUGUCCGGGUGAGGACAUCUCUAGUAAUUUACUGCUUUUGGAAACCUACACUCUCUUAGACAUGUUUCUAGUUGGUCUUUAUAAAACCCCCUGUACCUGUGUCUUGGGAAUAUACAACACACCUGCUGGCAGGAGCUUCAAAAGUAGAGUCAAGUGUAUGAGACACAAGCCUGGGACAAGAAUCACCUCAGCUCCGAAGAGCAGAUGACAGAAUGGUUUCAUCACCAAUACCCUCUGACAUCUGAAACAAGGUCUAAAGAUAAAAUCCAGGGAAGAACAUGUUGCCAAUUCCUUUGGGCCCAUCCACCAUUAAAUCCGCUAUUCCUGAGCUUAGCUGUACACUUGCUCUGCCACAACUGUGAUUUAUCAAGAAAGAAGCAAAACAGCAGAAACACCUAAGCUGCUAAUAUGUAGGCAAUCACUUCUCAUCAGGAGUGAAUCCUCUGGGAAAUAACUACACGUCUCCCAGAGGCACAGGCAAUGAUUCAGCAAACUAAAGAAGCCAGAAAAGCAAUAUUAAGAAAGCAAAAAAUCAUUAGAAACUCAGGGAGAAAAUAUAACUUUGCAUGGUACUUACCUAAGCAAUUUAAAGGCACAAAAAGAUAAUUGGCAUGAAGUACUGAGAUAGAACAAAGAAACAAACACAUCCAAUCCAGAAAAGGUAUGGUUUUUGAGAAUUACUUUUAAACAACAGCAAUAACAACCACCAUUACCACCAAAACAAACAAACAAAGGCUAUCUGGAUUAUUUUGUCAAUUGUCCUAGUUGGAAAUGAUCAGUGCAAAUUCUUAAUUUUCACAGAAUUAAAAUUGGCAUCCAUCUGGGGCAUAGGGGCCUGUUGUUCAAAAUACGAUA